AGUGAACGCUGGCGGUAGGCCUAACACAUGCAAGUCGAACGGCAGCACAGUAAGAGCUUGCUCUUACGGGUGGCGAGUGGCGGACGGGUGAGGAAUACAUCGGAAUCUACUUUUUCGUGGGGGAUAACGUAGGGAAACUUACGCUAAUACCGCAUACGACCUACGGGUGAAAGCAGGGGAUCUUCGGACCUUGCGCGAUUGAAUGAGCCGAUGUCGGAUUAGCUAGUUGGCGGGGUAAAGGCCCACCAAGGCGACGAUCCGUAGCUGGUCUGAGAGGAUGAUCCGCCAAAGUGGCACAGGUACGCGCGCCCGACUGCUAGGGGAGGCAGCGGUGGAGAAGAUUGGACAAGGGGCGCCAGCCUGAUGCAGCAAUAGCGGGUUGGGGACGAGGGCCUGGGGGUUGAAAAGCUCUUUUGUGGGGAAAGAAAAGCAGCAUCAUACUCCCCCGGUGUCCAGAGGGUACCCAAAGAAUAAGCACAGGCAAACUUGGUGCCAGCAGCCGGGUUAAUGAGGGAAGAGCACACGUCUGACC
RNAcentral lists this ribosomal RNA (532 nucleotides) under uncultured bacterium. RNAcentral describes it as "partial 16S ribosomal RNA". It matches the Rfam family "Bacterial small subunit ribosomal RNA", at positions 33 to 541 of the family's 1533-position model. The record is from RNAcentral.